GGAGUGAUUUGCAGCCAAGAAUGACUUGCCGGAAUGCUUGCAUUAGGCAUAAUAUAUAGUUGUAUACUUUAUAAUCCGGCAAGUUGUUUUUGGCUACACUUUUUUCUCU
Non-coding RNA from Glycine max (soybean), 109 nucleotides. Lineage: Eukaryota; Viridiplantae; Streptophyta; Magnoliopsida; Fabales; Fabaceae. The record is from Rfam.